UACGGAGGGUGCGAGCGUUGUCCGGAUUUAUUGGGUUUAAAGGGUGCGUAGGUGGGUUAAUAAGUCAGUGGUGAAAUACGGUUGCUCAACAAUCGAGGUGCCAUUGAUACUGUUAAUCUUGAAACAAGUGGAGGUUGCCGGAAUGGAUGGUGUAGCGGUGAAAUGCAUAGAUAUCAUCCAGAAACACCGAUUGCGAAGGCAGGUGACUACGUUUUGAUUUGACACUGAGGCACGAAAGCAUGGGGAGCAAACAGG
This 255-nucleotide ribosomal RNA is filed under the name uncultured bacterium. Its description in RNAcentral is "partial 16S ribosomal RNA". It matches the Rfam family "Bacterial small subunit ribosomal RNA", at positions 524 to 776 of the family's 1533-position model. The record is from RNAcentral.